CAGACAAAUUGGAGAGAUGGAGGCUUAAAAUAGCAGACAGUCACAGCUGGGACCGCUUUUAAACACCUGACCAUAAAUAUGGUCCUCAUCUGAGCAUGUUUACACUGCUGUGGCUUUCUUCCAACCUGUGUGUGUGUGUGACAGGGAGAGCCAUCAGUGAGAUGGAGAUAAAGAGAACAUGAGAGAGAAUGGGAGAGAGACAACAUGAGAGAGAGACAACAUGAGAGAGAGAGAACAUGAGAGAGAAUGGGAGAGAGACAACAUGAGAGAGAGAAUGGGAGAGAGACAACAUGAGAGAGAGAAUGGGAGAGAGACAACAUGAGAGAGAGAAUGGGAGAGAGACAACAUGAGAGGGAGAGAACAUGAGAGAAUGGGAGAGAGACAACAUAAGAGAGAAUGGGAGAGAGAGAACAUGGGAGAGAAUGGGAGAGAGAGAACAUGAGAAUGGGAGAGAGAGAACAUGAGAGAGAAUGGGAGAGAGACAACAUGAGAGAGAAUGGGAGAGAGAGAACAUGGGAGAGAGACAACAUGAGAGAGAGAGAACAUGAGAGAGAGAACAUGAGAGAGAAUGGGAGAGAGACAACAUGAGAGAGAAUGGGAGAGAGAGAACAUGGGAGAGAAUGGGAGAGAGACAACAUGAGAGAGAGAAUGGGAGAGAGACAACAUGAGAGAGAGAAUGGGAGAGAGACAACAUGAGAGGGAGAGAACAUGAGAGAAUGGGAGUGAGAGAACAUAAGAGAGAAUGGGAGAGAGAGAACAUGGGAGAGAAUGGGAGAGAGAGAACAUGAGAAUGGGAGAGAGAGAACAUGAGAGAGAAUGGGAGAGAGACAACAUGAGAGAGAAUGGGAGAGAGAGAACAUGGGAGAGAGACAACAUGAGAGAGAGAGAACAUGAGAGAGAGAACAUGAGAGAGAAUGGGAGAGAGACAACAUGAGAGAGAAUGGGAGAGAGACAACGAGAGAGAGAGAGAACAUGAGAGAGAAUGGGAGAGAGACAACGAGAGAGAGAGAGAGAACAUGAGAGAGAAUGGGAGAGAGACAACGAGAGAGAGAGAACAUGAGAGAGAAUGGGAGAGAGACAACAUGAGAGAGAGAACAUGAGAGAGAGAACAUGAGAGAGAAUGGGAGAGAGACAACAUGAGAGAGAGAGAACAUGAGAGAGAAUGGGAGAGAGACAACAUGAGAGAGAGAGAACAUGAGAGAGAAUGGGAGAGAGACAACAUGAGAGAGAGAACAUGAGAGAGAGAACAUGAGAGAGAGAACAUGAGAGAGAAUGGGAGAGAGACAACAUGAGAGAGAGAACAUGAGAGAGAGAACAUGAGAGAGAAUGGGAGAGAGACAACAUGAGAGAGAGAGAACAUGAGAGAGAAUGGGAGAGAGACAACAUGAGAGAGAGAGAACAUGAGAGAGAAUGGGAGAGAGACAACAUGAGAGAGAGAGAAUGGGAGAGAGACAACAUGAGAGAGAGAGAACAUGAGAGAGAAUGGGAGAGAGACAACAUGAGAGAGAGAAUGGGAGAGAGAGAACAUGGGAGAGAAUGGGAGAGAGACAACAUGAGAGAGAGAAUGGGAGAGAGAGAACAUGGGAGAGAAUGGGAGAGAGACAACAUGAGAGAGAGAAUGGGAGAGAGAGAACAUGGGAGAGAAUGGGAGAGAGACAACAUGGGAGAGAGAGAGAGAACAGGAGAGAGAGAGUUAUGUGGUGGGUGGCUCUGCUGUCCUGAAUCCUGACUCCAUACUAACAGGUUAUCAGAUAAACUGGCCAAACUGCAUACAUCUGAUGUAUUGUAUAUCUGUGUUAAGCUGCUUUGGACCACAGCCUCUCCUAAGUCGGGGCAAGCCUUUUGCUAGCUCAGAGAGAGAGAGAUAAACGUUAGAGCAAAACAAAAAUCAACAACCCAGCCGUCCUUCCCGUUCACUCCUCCUCCCCUCACUCCCCCAUCUCCACAAACAAGUGGAU
Molecule: long non-coding RNA, 1958 nt
Filed under: Salmo salar (Atlantic salmon)
Lineage: Eukaryota; Metazoa; Chordata; Actinopteri; Salmoniformes; Salmonidae
Description: lncRNA (ENSSSAG00000107108.1)
Source: RNAcentral